Molecule: long non-coding RNA, 2713 nt
Organism: Bos taurus (domestic cattle)
Lineage: Eukaryota; Metazoa; Chordata; Mammalia; Artiodactyla; Bovidae
Source: Ensembl
GAUGAAUCAGUGUGGAAUGAUUAGUCAACUUUCCAAAUGAAAUACAUUCGAGUUUCAGAUGAAUUCAGUUUUCCCCCAAGAAAAGUAGGUUUGUACUGUACUUGCGUCAUAAUAUUUGUGAAAAGAAAGAGUACAUUCUUAUAUUUUUUCCCAAAAAGGUAUAUGCAAAACUUUUGCCUCUUGGGGACUUCCCUGGUGGUCCAGUGGUUAAGAAUUUGCCUGCCACUGCAGGCAGGCAAUGCAACUGUUUCGUCAGGAGUCUGGGAAGAUUCCACAUGCCACGGGGCAACUCAGCCCAGGCACCCCAACUACUGAAGCCCUCAUGCCCUGGAGCCUGUGCUCUGCAACAAGAAAAGCCACCGUAAUGAGAAGCCCAAGGACCACAACUAGAAAAACCUACAAGCAGCAACGAAGACCCAGUGCAGUCAUAAAUAAAUAAAAACUCUGCCUCUUCGGUAAUGGUAACAGCUGCCACCACAAUCAUAAUAAUAACAGCAGCCUGUAUAUAGAGUUUUUGUACCAGGCACUCUGAGCAGAGCGCUUGGUGUUGUCUCUAAGGUUGUCAUUAGCCCAUUUUACAGGUGAGGAAAUGGAGAACCAGGGAGGAAUAGGGCAGGAAUCCCUGUCUGCUUAACUCCACAGUUCUUGUUCUGAGUCCUGAGCCCCCAUGGGAGGCUGCAACUUUGAAAGAGCAGUUUUUCUGGUUUCUUUCCUUGAGGUUAAGAUACAUCCUGAGGCCAAGGUUCUGCAACUGGAGACUCCAGGGGUGUCUCUCCCAGGAGACCUGCUAUGUAGUCAGGCUGUCCCAUCCCAUCAGGGUCUGGAAUCUUUGCUGCGUCAAGGCCCCAUGUCAUCAGCACCAGAUCUUCUAAUGACACACUGCAGCCUGGGAAAUUACAGUGCCCAGGAGACUUGUCCCAGAGGCCUUGCUCAGGGUAAUUCCAGAGCAGGAGAGAAUGCUGGGAAUAACAAGAAAAACAGAGUCAGGCUGCCAGCCUUAGGUAAUGGAAUGGUGUGUUGUGGCCAUGGAGCAUGGGGGAUGGAGAAUUUUAUUUUCUAAAACAGAUUUUUCUCCCUAAAUUUUAAAAAUACUGAAAAAUGCAAAAUCAAAAGUAAAAAUGAUACUCAGUCUUAUCAUUUAAAAUUAUGCCUUUCAAUGCCACUCCCCAGAAAUGAUGACUGUUACAGGAGGCUUUGAUUCAUCUCCUUCUGAAGUUGGCCUCUGCUUCUACAUAUGCACAUGGACAAUUUUCAUGAAUGGAGUCAAGUUUUGCAUGUUGGCCUGCAAGCUGCUUCUGUCACUUAAUGAUGCGUCAGAUAUUUCUUGCUUGACUAGUAUAGGAGCUGAACUUAGAGGAUGCUAAUAUUCAUUUAAAAGGUGAGUACCACUUGACACAGAACCGGAGUGAAGGUAUGGAGCAACUGGAACUCUCUUCUGAGGAUGGUGGGGAUAACAAACAAUUGGUUUAACCAUUUUUGGAAAACUGCUUGCCACUGUCUACUAAAGCUAAUCGUACCCGCAUCAGAAAUGCAUACACACAUUCACCAAAAGGCCUGGGCAAGAACAUUCCCAGCAGCACUAUUCAAAUAGCCGCAAUUCAAAAGUCCAUCAAAAAUAGAGUGAGUUUUUAAAAAUGUGAUUUAUUUAUACAGUGGACGUCAUAUACCAAUGGAAAGGAAAGAACCAUAACUGCACACAAGAGCAAAUCUCACAGGUGUGGUGCUCAGCUAAGAAGCCAGACACACAAAACCCAUACGGCAUGAUUCCAUUUGUAUAAAGCUCAAUGUCAGGCCAAAUGAGUCUAUGGUUUUAGACGUCAGGAAGGGGCACAAGAGGAACUUCUGGGGGCUAAAGUGCUGUUUCUUAAUCUUAGUCUACUGGCUAUUUACAUGGGAUGUUCCAUUUGUCAGAAUUCACUGAGCUGUGCGCUUACACUGAAGAUCUGUGUACUUUUCUGUAUGUGUCAUACUUCAGUUAGAGUCUAUUUUCUAAAGAGAGGCUCAAUGGCAUUCAGUCCCUUCCCCUGAAAUCAGUCCUGUUUCCCCUAGGUUUGCCCCUUUCUCUCUCUCUUCCAGAACCUUCGGAGCGCACACAGCAGGUGUGGCAUAUUGCCAUCGGUCCUGUGGGGCAGAGAGAGGAAAAGUCGACCUUCAGGUCCUGGAAGCCCUGGUGGGACCCAGUGGCCAGCCUUGGGAGAGCACUCAGGCCGCACCGCCCCCCAGGCUUGCUCCGAAGUAGAUAAGAAUCUACCUGCCAAUGCAGGGAACAGAGGUUCGAUCCUUUGUCCAGGAAGAUCUCCCAAACUGCGGAGCAACUAAGCCUUGGUACCACAACUUCUGAGCCCACCCUCUACACCCUACGAGCCACAGCUACUGAAACACACGUGCCUGGAGCCUAUUUUCUGCAACAAGAGUACCCACUCCAAUGAGAAGCCUCUGCUUGUUGCAACUCGAGAAUUCCCACUCACAGCAAUGAAGACCCAGGGCAGAAAAAAAAAAAUCACAAUUGCUAUUAAAAAUAUUUUAUGUUAUGAUGUGUCUAUUAAUUGUUUAAUAGCAUCAUGUCUAAAAACAAAGUGCAUACCUUAAUUAAAAAACACUUUAUCGACUAAAAAAAGGCUAACCAUCACCUGAGCCUUCAGUGAGUCGUAAUCUCUGAUCAUUGAUCACAGAUCACCGUAACAAAUACAAAAAUGUUGAAAAAGUUCAAAAU